CUGGGGCCCGCCUUCUCCUGAGCGCUGUGCUUUGAGUUUGGAGCAGGUGACCAGGCCUGAGUCUCCCCGGCCGGGUGGCGAGACUCCCCGAGGACACCGAUGAAGAAAAUGAGACCCAGAGAAGAGAAGGAUUUCUUCAGGGUCACAUGGUGAAUAUGUCACAGCCAGAACUAGAACUCAGGGCCCUUCACAAACGGCUUGCUGGCCUUCCUGUUACACAUGGACCCCGAAGGCAUUCCGGUCUUGUCUUCUUCCAGAAGAAGGAUCCUCGUAUCUUGAAUGUUCUUUCUCCAUCUACCCCACCAUGUCCCACCACCAUAUAUCCGAAUGGUGUGCGAUCAUCAAGGUCCACCUUUGUCACCGCUGCGAUUCCCGUGGAUCCUGCCUUCCUCGGGACUUCUCUAGAGCAGAAGUCCAGAGGCAGGCGUUCCAGGGCUGGUGUGCUGUCCCAGAGUAAUCAGAGACCCAGACUCCUUCUGCCUUCUUGCUCCACGAUUGUUAGUAGCUUUCAUCCCUAAGUUUGCCUCUGCUUCAAAAGGAUUGUUGGAGCUCCAGCCAUCACACCUGCAUUCCAGGCAAGGAAAAGAGGAAGAGAGAAGAGCAAAAACGUGCAUCCCAGCUUUCUAUUCUCCAAGAUAUCGUACCCAGUAACCUCUGCUCACAUUUCAUUGACCAGAAUUUCACUACUUGGGUGCAGGGGACUCUGGGAAAUGUGGUUUUUCGAGCUGGGUGCAUGGCCACCUGGACUUAAACAAGAGUUCUGUUUCUAAGGAAGAACAGGAGAAUGAAGUUUGGUGGGCACCUAGCAAUUUCUGCCUCACUUAGCGCAGCAGUCAAGGCCUUGAAUGAAUUUUCACACCAGCGAGCUCAUUCUGUUCCUUCUUCCUGCUCAGCAGGCAUGUCUUGCAGAUGGGUCAGCAGGGCAAGUCCAUUAUUUGGCCGUUAGGUUUGGCUGCCCUGACUGACAUGCACCUCCUGAACAAGCCCGAGCUUUCUGCCUUCCGGUGCAGCACUUCUGCUGCUUCCAAGGUAGCAUCUGGAAACCCACGUAAAGGGCAGAGCCGCUAAUGACUCUCACUCUGUUCCCCAGCGAGCAGAGCAGUCUCCAUCCUACUGCCCUGGAACUGCCCACUGAGAAGACCCUGAGUUUGCACACGCUUGCCCGUGCAUACACACACCCCUCAAAGAAAGAAACCUCUUCUAGUGUUAGUACCUUCUCACCUGGAGCAGGAUACACAGUUUUCCUUACAGAUCCAAGAAGCAGCUACUGAGGACUACACAUGUUGCAGGCCAUAGAUGCCCUACGCUGGACCCUUCCACAUACAGAUUUGGAUCCACGGGCCCCCAAGGCAGUCACAGUGUUCACCAGAUUUUGCAGAUGGGAAAAGGCGGAGCUGCAGGAGGCCAGGUGACAUGCCAAGGUCCUGUGGCCAGGGAAACCUGUGUUCCACCCUGGUGACCACCUCCAGCAAUGAACUGUGAUGAAGUGACUUCUGAGGCUCGGUUGUAAAAGGUCAUCCAGCUUCUUCCCAGUUCUCUCUUUUGGGGCGUGCACCUAUGGAGCCCUGAGCCCCCAGGUAAGAUGUUUUAGUUACAUGGAAGACACCACGUUGGGGAGAGCAUGUGGCAAGACCAUGGAGAGAGAGAGAAGCUCAAGGAGCCUGAGCCACCACGGUGGCCCAGCAGAGCAGUGGAUCUGAGAGGGAGUGAGCCUUCAGGGGGGGGCCCAGCCCCAUCAUCCAUGUCUCCCCCACCCGACGCUGAAUGCAGCAGAAGAGCUCCCUGCCCAGCCCCACCAACACUCCAGCUUUAGAGGCAGAAGAAACAUGCGGCUGUUCUAAGCUCACAGAGUUUUAGGCUCUUUGUUAUGCAGCCGUAACUGACUGAUACAGGGCAGGAGGAGGCCAUUUCAGCAAGAGAAAGGUAAACACCGCUGCUGGUCCACCUUUAAAGAUGCAGACACUGGGAGUCACAGGAACAAAGUAGGUGGACACAGGACACCUGCCUGGUGACAGGAUCAAGACUGGGACCCAGAGAUGAGCUGGAGCCAAAGCUGUGUCCCCUGGUGGUACCUCCCAGUUCUGGAAUUCUACCCCCAGCUCUGCUGCAAACUGAUUGACCAGCCUGUAACAAGACUGUGUUCUCACCUGGGCAACAGAGACUCGCACCCUUGUACCUGUGGCCUGGCCCGACCUCUUCCUUUGGAUGCAUGAGGCUGGCCCCUGUGGGCCUAUAAACUUAGGCCUUUUUAGGCCAGUGGAGCAGGACCCAAGGACACUUGUAAGGAGGGGCUCCCCAGCAACAGUGGCAGUGGGAGAAAAUUGUGCUAUGGACCAUGGAGCUUUCUGCGAGGGAGCUAAGAAGUAUCUCUUUUGAGGUGCCUGGGUAGCUCAGCUAAGCAUCCAACUCUUGAUUUCGGCUCAGAACAUGGUCUUAGGGUUGUGAGAUCACGCCCUGUGUCCACACGCCCAGCGUGGAACCUGCUUAAGAUUCUCCCUCUCCCUGUACCCCUCCCCUGCCUCUAAAAAGAAGAAGAAGAAUCUGUUUCUCAAUGUCUAGCAUUUACCCUGUGUGGAGCACUGCUCUAAGGGUUUUGUGUAACCCUAAUUAAUUGUUACAGCAGCCCUGUGAGGUAGAGACCUGUUGGUAGGGAUAAGACAAUGGAGACACAGAGAGCUUACUGAAUUUACCUAAAGUUACGUGGCUAGUGAGGGCUGGGACUGGUAUUUGGAUCCAUCAGUUUGGUGGAAGAAUCCCGCAUGGAGUGGUGUUAAAACAGCUCUAUUCUCAGGCUGGUCCAAGCAGAUUCUGUGCUGUGUUUUCUUUCCUCUUCACAUCUCUUGUUCCUUGAUUGGAAUCUCUUAGAAAACAGGGAGACAUGGGCUGGAACCAAAAGGGGAGAUGGGGUGCUCCGGGCUUCUGUCUGGUCCCUGGGAUGCAUUCAGUGAAUAGCCCUUCCCAGCCCAAUGAGAAGACAGAGGUCUGAAAUGUCCCCGGAAACAUCUUCCCAUCUGAGCAGGCUCCGAGUCUCCGCAGUGCCUGUUGCCAUGACAAACAGCCAUUACCCAGAGCCAAGCAGAUCCUUCCAGAAACCCCGCACCACCCGUUACCUUGUGACCCAGCCCAGUAAAUAGGCUGAGCUUUGAAGAUGCGAAGUCUCAUUAACCUGCGUCUGAGCUCAGUGUUUGGCUUCACCCUGGAGAGGCACAUGCCCGUGCUCCCGCUCUGGACCUGGAAGUAGCUUUCCUCUCACCCCGCCAUCUGGAGGGAGACAGUGCCGUGUUCAGAUGCUCACGGCCCCUCAGCCUUAGAGAAGCACAGGAACUCUCCAGGCUCAGGAGACUGAAUCCUUGCAUUUGAGCUGUUGCUGAAUGCCAGUCCUGAGCUAGUUUCCCCCCAGGCCUUGCAUGUCCCCACAUCAAACACUCGGGAGCAGUUCCCUGUCCAGUGACUGAGGCUGGGUUAUUGUUUCGUUGGAUUAACCAGAAUAUCUCCCUUUUUGGGCUGAUGGGUAGAUAGAUUGAAGUACAGUGUAUCGAGGAUUUAGCAUAGGGCCUGGCCCCAGGAAGGGGCAAAUUCAUGCUGGUUCCUGUUCCUUUGUCCUGUCCUGCUCCUCAUCCCUCAUCCUGCUCCCCAGCAUACCCUCCUUUGUCCUCUCUUCCCUGAAAAGUACUCCAGAAACUUGAAAGAAAGCCUAGAGGGCUUCCUGAAGGUGAUGUCCCUAUACCCAAAGCAGGAUGUAUAUUUUCCAAUAAAACAAUGGCCCCUAUUUCUAGAAUAUCUGCUGUGCGCCAUGCCCAGUAGUCGGUGUGCCAUCUCACCGGAUUCUUAUCGCAGCCCUUCCAGGUUUCAGUUUGCCCGUUUUUCAGUUGAGGAAAUUCAGAUGAGACGCAGAGAAAAUGCGUAGCUUACCCCAAGGCCACCGAGGUUAUCUGAGCCUGGGGAGUGUGACAUCAGAGCCUGGGCAUUUAACCCCCACGGGGUCCUUGUUUGUGUCAUAUUUGUGUCUGUGUCGGCGUUGAGCCUCUUCCCAGCUGCCCUUAGUACCCUUCUUCCUGCUCUGGCUCCUCUGAGCAGCUGUGCCUACCUCCCCAAGGGACUGGGCCCUUCGUACCUCUGCCCCCCACUUUGGAUCCUCUAUGCCUUCAGUCAAGCAACGGCCAUUUGUCCUGGACCACACCUCUCAGUCCACUGAAUGAAUAUAGAAAGAGAAGGGAAAGAAAGGAGACCAGGUCAAGUGUGAGCCUGGCUGGGGCCAUAGCCAUGAUGGUUGGCAGGCUCAUGGGAAGGGAAAAGGCGCCAGCGAUGGGGCAGCUGGCAACGCCAAUCGGAGGGUCACUAUUUAGGGCCCAGCAUCAAGCUCUGGACAGUCUAGGAAGCAAACUCCCACUAUGAGAGAAGUAGCUGGAAAAACUCAAGCAGUGUUAGGUCCCCAGCAAAGCAGACAGAGGCGUCAGAGCUGGGCUCCUGAUCUGUGGGGCAACAAAGUGCUGGGAGGGAAACUGAGGCAGGAACCUUGUCCUCCAUGCUGGCCCAACCCAGGGGUCCACAUGCAGGGUUCUGACCCCUCGCAUGACCUGGCCGUGAAGCCUUAGGCCUGGGGAUGGAAGAACUUUAUCCCAGUCCCAGGGGUCAUUACUAAAGCUGUUGAGACUGCCUGUUCGGAUGGUCCCAGACCUGGGUAGUGCUGGGUCCACGGGUGGGUGUGUGCAUUCCAGCUCAGGGGGCUGGGAGAGAAAAUCGGGUGAGAAGAGGUGAAGGUGGCGCCUCUCAGCCCCCCAUCUCCCCUGCCAUAGGAUCCUGCAUGCACAGAGCUCAGCCUCCAGACCUCUGGGG
This is a long non-coding RNA of Mustela lutreola (European mink), 4836 nucleotides long. RefSeq lists it as uncharacterized. NCBI's taxonomy places the organism in Eukaryota, Metazoa, Chordata, Mammalia, Carnivora, Mustelidae. The transcript is spliced from 6 exons. The record is from RefSeq and is a predicted model, not a curated record.